RNAcentral lists this ribosomal RNA (454 nucleotides) under uncultured bacterium. Its description in RNAcentral is "bacterial SSU rRNA". It matches the Rfam family "Bacterial small subunit ribosomal RNA", at positions 340 to 786 of the family's 1533-position model. The record is from RNAcentral.
UACGGGAGGCAGCAGUGGGGAAUAUUGCACAAUGGGCGCAAGCCUGAUGCAGCCAUGCCGCGUGUAUGAAAAAGGCCUUCGGGUUGUAAAGUACUUUCAGUCGUGAGGAAGGUGUUAAGGUUAAUAACCUUAGCAAUUGACGUUAGCGACAGAAGAAGCACCGGCUAACUCCGUGCCAGCAGCCGCGGUAAUACGGAGGGUGCGAGCGUUAAUCGGAAUUACUGGGCGUAAAGGGCACGCAGGCGGUUAAUUAAGUUGGAUGUGAAAUCCCCGGGCUUAACCUGGGAAUGGCAUUCAAGACUGGUUAGCUAGAGUCUUGUAGAGGGGGUAGAAUUCCAUGUGUAGCGGUGAAAUGCGUAGAGAUCGUGGAGGAAUACCGGUGGCGAAGGCGGCCCCUGGACAAAGACUGACGCUCAUGUGCGAAAGCGUGGGGAGCAAACAGGGAUUAGAUACC